RNAcentral lists this ribosomal RNA (1226 nucleotides) under Guptibacillus algicola. Its description in RNAcentral is "bacterial SSU rRNA". It matches the Rfam family "Bacterial small subunit ribosomal RNA", at positions 134 to 1345 of the family's 1533-position model. The record is from RNAcentral. Lineage: Bacteria; Bacillati; Bacillota; Bacilli; Caryophanales; Guptibacillaceae.
CAGACUGGGAUAACUCCGGGAAACCGGAGCUAAUACCGGGUAAUACAUAGCAUCGCAUGAUGCAACGUUGAAAGUUGGCCUUUGGCUAACACUGUAGGAUGGGCCCCGCGGCGCAUUAGCUAGUUGGUAAGGUAACGGCUUACCAAGGCCACGAUGCGUAGCCGACCUGAGAGGGUGAUCGGCCACACUGGGACUGAGACACGGCCCAGACUCCUACGGGAGGCAGCAGUAGGGAAUCUUCCGCAAUGGACGAAAGUCUGACGGAGCAACGCCGCGUGAGUGACGAAGGCCUUCGGGUCGUAAAGCUCUGUUGUUAGGGAAGAACAAGUACCGUUCAAAUAGGGCGGUACCUUGACGGUACCUAACCAGAAAGCCACGGCUAACUACGUGCCAGCAGCCGCGGUAAUACGUAGGUGGCAAGCGUUGUCCGGAAUUAUUGGGCGUAAAGCGCGCGCAGGCGGUCUCUUAAGUCUGAUGUGAAAGCCCACGGCUCAACCGUGGAGGGCCAUUGGAAACUGGGGGACUUGAGUGCAGAAGAGGAGAGUGGAAUUCCACGUGUAGCGGUGAAAUGCGUAGAUAUGUGGAGGAACACCAGUGGCGAAGGCGGCUCUCUGGUCUGUAACUGACGCUGAGGCGCGAAAGCGUGGGGAGCGAACAGGAUUAGAUACCCUGGUAGUCCACGCCGUAAACGAUGAGUGCUAGGUGUUGGGGGGUUCCACCCUCAGUGCUGAAGUUAACACAUUAAGCACUCCGCCUGGGGAGUACGACCGCAAGGUUGAAACUCAAAGGAAUUGACGGGGGCCCGCACAAGCAGUGGAGCAUGUGGUUUAAUUCGAAGCAACGCGAAGAACCUUACCAGGUCUUGACAUCCUCUGCCACUCCUAGAGAUAGGACGUUCCCCUUCGGGGGACAGAGUGACAGGUGGUGCAUGGUUGUCGUCAGCUCGUGUCGUGAGAUGUUGGGUUAAGUCCCGCAACGAGCGCAACCCUUGAUCUUAGUUGCCAGCAUUCAGUUGGGCACUCUAAGGUGACUGCCGGUGACAAACCGGAGGAAGGUGGGGACGACGUCAAAUCAUCAUGCCCCUUAUGACCUGGGCUACACACGUGCUACAAUGGACGGUACAAAGGGCAGCAACACCGCGAGGUGAAGCGAAUCCCAUAAAGCCGUUCUCAGUUCGGAUUGUAGGCUGCAACUCGCCUACAUGAAGCCGGAAUGCUAGUAAUCGC